RNAcentral lists this ribosomal RNA (625 nucleotides) under Rhodococcus sp. (in: high G+C Gram-positive bacteria). RNAcentral's name for it is "bacterial SSU rRNA". It matches the Rfam family "Bacterial small subunit ribosomal RNA", at positions 39 to 680 of the family's 1533-position model. The record is from RNAcentral. Lineage: Bacteria; Bacillati; Actinomycetota; Actinomycetes; Mycobacteriales; Nocardiaceae.
GCGGCGUGCUUUAACACAUGCAAGUCGAGCGGUAAGGCCUUUCGGGGUACACGAGCGGCGAACGGGUGAGUAACACGUGGGUGAUCUGCCCUGCACUUCGGGAUAAGCCUGGGAAACUGGGUCUAAUACUGGAUAUGACCUCCUAUCGCAUGGUGGGUGGUGGAAAGAUUUAUCGGUGCAGGAUGGGCCCGCGGCCUAUCAGCUUGUUGGUGGGGUAAUGGCCUACCACGGCGACGACGGGUAGCCGACCUGAGAGGGUGACCGGCCACAUUGGGAUUGAGACACGGCCCAGACUCCUACGGGAGGCAGCAGUGGGGAAUAUUGCACAAUGGGCGAAAGCCUGAUGCAGCGACGCCGCUUGAGGGAUGACGGCCUUCGGGUUGUAAACCUCUUUCAGCAGGGACGAAGCGCAAGUGACGGUACCUGCAGAAGAAGCACCGGCUAACUACUUGCCAGCAGCCGCGGUAAUAAUUAGGGUGCAAGCGUCGUCCGGAAUUACUGGGCGUAAAGAGUUCGUAGGCGGUUUGUCGCGUCGUUUGUGAAAACCAGCAGGUCAACUGCUGGCUAGCAGGCGAUACGGGCAGACUUGAGUACUGCAGGGGAGACUGGAAUUCCUGGUGUAGCG